RNAcentral lists this ribosomal RNA (476 nucleotides) under Eubosmina cf. longispina DJT-2008. RNAcentral describes it as "partial 16S ribosomal RNA". It matches the Rfam family "Bacterial large subunit ribosomal RNA", at positions 1835 to 2575 of the family's 2925-position model. Lineage: Eukaryota; Metazoa; Arthropoda; Branchiopoda; Diplostraca; Bosminidae. The record is from RNAcentral.
CUUAAAAUUUAUUUAAGGUACUGCCUGCUCAAUGCUUAACGUAAAUAGCCGCAGUAUUUUGACUGUGGUAAGGUAGCAUAAUCAUUAGUCUUUUUAUUGAAGGCUGGUAUGAAUGGCUUGACUAGAAAGAGACUGUCUCUUUAAAAACAAUCGAAUUUCAUUUUUAAGUGAAAAAGCUUAAAUAAAUUUAAGGGACGAUCAGACCCUAUGGAGCUUAAUUUUAAGAUAAAAGUAGACUUAUUUUUAAAAGUUACUUAUUUUUAAAAAAUUUUGUUGGGGCGACAGAGAGAUGAAAAAACCACUCUUUUUAUUAAACUUACAUUAAAGGAAAGUUGAUCCCUAAAGAAGGAUUAAAAGACUAAGUUACCCUAGGGAUAACAGCGUAAUUUUUUUGGAGAGUUCAUAUCGAUAAAAAAGUUUGCGACCUCGAUGUUGGAUUAGGAAUUUAACUAGGUGCAGAAGUUUAGUUGUAGAGU